GUAGGGGCCAAACGUUUGUCCGGAUUUAUUGGGCGUAAAGGGCUCGUAGGCGGUUCAACAAGUCGGUCGUGAAAGCCCGGGGCUCAACCCCGGGACGCCGGUCGAAACUGUUGUGACUAGGGUCCGGUAGAGGUGAGUGGAAUUCUCGGUGUAGCGGUGGAAUGCGCAGAUAUCGAGAGGAACACGUGUAGCGAAGGCGGCUCACUGGGCCGGUACCGACGCUGAGGAGCGAAAGCGUGGGGAGCAAACAGGAUUAGAUACCCUGGUAGUCCACGCCGUAAACUGUGAACACUAGGUGUGGCGGAUCAUUGAUGUCUGCCGUACCGUAGCUAACGCGUUAAGUGUUCCGCCUGGGGAGUACGGCCGCAAGGCUA
RNAcentral lists this ribosomal RNA (374 nucleotides) under uncultured organism. RNAcentral's name for it is "partial 16S ribosomal RNA". It matches the Rfam family "Bacterial small subunit ribosomal RNA", at positions 527 to 896 of the family's 1533-position model. The record is from RNAcentral.